RNAcentral lists this transfer RNA (72 nucleotides) under Amblycirrhitus pinos (redspotted hawkfish). RNAcentral's name for it is "tRNA-Pro". It matches the Rfam family "tRNA". From Rfam's summary of the family: Transfer RNA (tRNA) molecules are approximately 80 nucleotides in length. Lineage: Eukaryota; Metazoa; Chordata; Actinopteri; Centrarchiformes; Cirrhitidae. The record is from RNAcentral.
CAGAGAAUAGUUUAAGGACUAGAACACCAGUUUUGGGAAUUGGUAGUAGGAGUUAAACUCUCCUUUCUUUGA